AUGUCGGACCGGGAGCUCCCGCCGCCGCUGCGAUCCAUCCGAAUUACAGGGGACGGGAGGUGCCUGUUCCGGUCCGUCGCCUAUGGCGCCUGCAUAAGGAGAGGCAAGCAGUCGCCGAGCGACAGCGCCCAGAAGGAACUCGCCGACGAGCUUCGAGCAAAGGUUGCAGAUGAGUUCAUCAAGCGACGAGGAGAUACCGAAUGGUUCCUCGAAGGCAAUUUCGAGAGCUAUGUGCGGAAGAUGAGGAAGCCUCACGCCUGGGGAGGAGAACCUGAGCUGCUCAUGUGCUCACAUGUUCUUGGGAUGCCCAUCACCGUCCACAUGUACACCAAGGGCACCGAUAACCCCAGGAUCAUAGCAGAGUAUGGCCAGGAGUACGGCAAGGACAACCCGGUCCGUGUUCUAUACGACGGUUAUGGGCACUACGACGCGCUGCAGCCAUCUCUUGUAAGAACACAACCAAGACUGAGAGGAGCGUAG
This 480-nucleotide ribosomal RNA is filed under the name Triticum aestivum (bread wheat). RNAcentral describes it as "partial small subunit ribosomal RNA". The record is from RNAcentral. Lineage: Eukaryota; Viridiplantae; Streptophyta; Magnoliopsida; Poales; Poaceae.